This is a long non-coding RNA of Corvus hawaiiensis (hawaiian crow), 1176 nucleotides long. RefSeq lists it as uncharacterized. The record is from RefSeq and is a predicted model, not a curated record. Lineage: Eukaryota; Metazoa; Chordata; Aves; Passeriformes; Corvidae. The transcript is spliced from 3 exons.
GGUCCCACCUCCUGCGCCUGCGUGUAGCCGGUCUCUCAGCGUUCGGUUCGGGCGGAGUCGGGCGCCGGUUUCUGCCCCAUCGCAUCGGGCCGUCCCAGCCGCCUACCGGGCGGCGAGUGAGGCCCGCAGCCUUCCGGGUGUGUGUGUCGUCGUCCUCCCCGCGGCCAUCGGUCACCGCAGUGGAGAUGAGCUCCGGAUGCGCUGCGUUCCGAGGAGUGCCCAUUUGACUGGGGGGGGCGAGGGGGGGAGGCGGCGGCCAGGGACAAAGUCUGAGACAUAACCCCGCAAAUUUCAAGGGAAUUUCACGCUGGCUCUGCGUGAGAUGAUGUUGUAACUGACCACUCCUGAGAAGGAAACGUAAGGUGUGGUCCUGGAGUGGAGGGAGGGAGGGAGGGAGGAGGACGAGAUGCAUGCCGUUUUCAUCCAGGGGAUGGCCUAAAAGUGCACUGCCUGCCUACCCCUCCUGCUCAGCAGCCAUGCUCCGUCUCCUUCUCAAGAAUCUAGGGGGAGCUGCUAGAUGAAAGGGGCCAAUGGGGACAUCCCGAGCGUCUCUCCAGGAACCAUGGCUGGACCAUCUUGUAGGGACUGGGGAGCAGCUGGAUGCACCUGGGCACAGAGCACUGGUUCCAGAAAAUGCCAAAGGAAAAGCCCUUGUGCCAAGGGGCUGCACCUGAGCAGAUUCCCAUUUGUUAAGAUGACAACCUUGAGAAGAAGGAAACCUGUAACUGCCAUUCAGAGAAGGUCUAAAAAUUUAAUUGCUGUUUGAACACAAAGGAGCUUUGACAUGCUGUGGUUUAUUGAAACACUCCUGCAGUUAUAGACACAUCUUUAACCACCCUACCCUCUCCCUCUUCCUCCAUCCACCACUGAUUGAUGCAACUGGAAGAUUCAGUAACUGCAGAGCAAAGUCCUGCUUACUUCCAGCUCUCCUGCCCCAGCAAAUGCUCAGCUCUUCUGGGAAGAUGGAGCUAUGCCAUAAACACAUUGCACCUGAAAGGAGAUGAAACCUUCCCUUCAAAGACACAUGUGACCAGGUGUGACCAAUGUGACUUAAUUCUCACAACUAUAUUAAAUAUUCAGUACAUCUGAUAUUCUGUUGUCAACACACAAAAUACAGUUUAAUUAUGAUAAGCCAUACUGGAAUCAUUUACAAUACAUAAACGUGAAAAAACAGCA